CAGUAGGGUAAUCAUACCCAUUGUAACCCUCUCCAUACAUAGAAUCGUAGUCAGCCUGAUCCAAAAACUCCUCAUUGGAAUACGCAUCAGCAGGCUGGCGUUGGUAUGCAUUUUGGUCAUCAUAAACCUCUGAAUCGUAAGCGUACUGAUCAUCCGAGACAGCAUCAUGACCAGUAAUACCUGAAACAUUUUCAUUAUUUCCAGACAUUUUCUACUAUGCUUAAAACUUGUAAAUAGAUUGAGGAAUGAGGACUAAUUAGAAAUAUGGUGAAAGGAGUUCCCAGUUAAAGAAUAACGAACAGAAAAAAGAAAAGAAUGAACAAUUUCAAUAGGAACUGAAAAGAGGGACUGAUGACUUAA
Molecule: non-coding RNA, 360 nt
Organism: Schizosaccharomyces pombe (fission yeast)
Lineage: Eukaryota; Fungi; Ascomycota; Schizosaccharomycetes; Schizosaccharomycetales; Schizosaccharomycetaceae
Source: the annotation of a GenBank genome assembly